UACGGGGGGGGUAAGCGUUGUUCGGAAUUACUGGGCGUAAAGGGCUCGUAGGCGGCCAACUAAGUCAUACGUGAAAUCCCUCGGCUUAACCGGGGAACUGCGUCUGAUACUGGAUGGCUUGAGGUUGGGAGAGGGAUGCGGAAUUCCAGGUGUAGCGGUGAAAUGCGUAGAUAUCUGGAGGAACACCGGUGGCGAAGGCGGCAUCCUGGACCAAUUCUGACGCUGAGGAGCGAAAGCCAGGGGAGCAAACGGG
This 253-nucleotide ribosomal RNA is filed under the name uncultured bacterium. RNAcentral's name for it is "partial 16S ribosomal RNA". It matches the Rfam family "Bacterial small subunit ribosomal RNA", at positions 524 to 776 of the family's 1533-position model. The record is from RNAcentral.